Molecule: transfer RNA, 77 nt
Filed under: Pseudomonadota bacterium
Lineage: Bacteria; Pseudomonadati; Pseudomonadota
Also listed under: 1 other name
Description: tRNA-Arg
Rfam family: tRNA
About the family: Transfer RNA (tRNA) molecules are approximately 80 nucleotides in length. Their secondary structure includes four short double-helical elements and three loops (D, anti-codon, and T loops).
Source: RNAcentral
GCGCCCUUAGCUCAACUGGAUAGAGCGUGUGGCUACGGACCACAAGGCUGGGGGUUCAAAUCCCUCAGGGCGCACCA